GGGGUUAUAGCUCAGCCGGUUAGAGCGCAUCCCUGAUAAGGAUGAGGUCCGUGGUUCGAGUCCACGUAACCCCACCA
Molecule: transfer RNA, 77 nt
Filed under: Vulcanimicrobiota bacterium
Lineage: Bacteria; Bacillati; Vulcanimicrobiota
Description: tRNA-Ile
Rfam family: tRNA
About the family: Transfer RNA (tRNA) molecules are approximately 80 nucleotides in length. Their secondary structure includes four short double-helical elements and three loops (D, anti-codon, and T loops). Further hydrogen bonds mediate the characteristic L-shaped molecular structure. tRNAs have two regions of fundamental functional importance: the anti-codon, which is responsible for specific mRNA codon recognition, and the 3' end, to which the tRNAs corresponding amino acid is attached (by aminoacyl-tRNA synthetases). tRNAs cope with the degeneracy of the genetic code in two manners: having more than one tRNA (with a specific anti-codon) for a particular amino acid; and 'wobble' base-pairing, i.e. permitting non-standard base-pairing at the 3rd anti-codon position.
Source: RNAcentral